UUAAGUGCAAUGAUGGGGAAUAGUAGAAAAGUUUAUUCUUAUAGAGAGGAAACGGUUGGUGAAAGUUUCUAGAGUAUCUUUUUGAACCCGCUCCUAAGCUGUUGGUGAAAUAAGCCAUACCAGUUAUAGCGCUGUUAAAGCUAUUUGAGUGAAUCACAAUUGUGAUUAAUUUGGGUGGUACCGCGGUUAACUUCCGUCCCUGUU
This 204-nucleotide non-coding RNA is filed under the name Paramaledivibacter caminithermalis. RNAcentral describes it as "Clostridium caminithermale T-box sequence". It matches the Rfam family "T-box leader". From Rfam's summary of the family: Uncharged tRNA acts as the effector for transcription antitermination of genes in the T-box leader family. T-boxes are found upstream of many aminoacyl-tRNA synthetase genes and some amino acid biosynthetic genes usually in Gram-positive bacteria. Lineage: Bacteria; Bacillati; Bacillota; Clostridia; Peptostreptococcales; Caminicellaceae. The record is from RNAcentral.